GUCUGGGAUUAGAUACCCCACUAUGCUUAGAUAUUAAUAAGAUUCAACUCCGCCAGAAAAUUACGGGCGAAAGCCUGAAACUCAAAAGACUUGACGGUAUUCCAUCUAUCUAGAGGAGCCUGUUCCAUAAUCGACACCCCACGAUAAACCUAACCACCCUUUGAUUCUUUACCAGCCUAUAUACCGCCGUCGACAGCAUGCCUUUUAAAAGAAAUUAAAGCAAGCCAAAAAGCCAUACACUAAAAAGUCAGGUCAAGGUGUAGCUUAUAGAGUGGAGAAAAUGGGCUACAUUAUUUAAUAUAAAUAAAACGAAUUAUCACCUGAAAACAACAUGAAGGCGGAUUUAGCAGUAAAUUAAACAAGAAAACUUAGUUUAACAUUGCCCUGGAAUAUGUACACACCGCCCGUCACCCU
RNAcentral lists this ribosomal RNA (414 nucleotides) under Neusticurus rudis. Its description in RNAcentral is "partial 12S ribosomal RNA". It matches the Rfam family "Bacterial small subunit ribosomal RNA", at positions 770 to 1403 of the family's 1533-position model. Lineage: Eukaryota; Metazoa; Chordata; Lepidosauria; Squamata; Gymnophthalmidae. The record is from RNAcentral.